CUCAAAGAUACUGAACUGGAUUAAGUGGCUGACUUCCUGGGACAUGACAUACGUGUCCACCGUGAUCACUACAGACUCCCUGAGGCAACAGUUCAGCUUGCAAAUAUCUACUAAUUACUUUUGGCGAUGGACAAAGGCUGUCUUGGAAGCAUCCAGGGAAAGUGUCUUGAUGACAUUCAAAUCAAAGAUCAGAUCCAGUUAACUGAUACUGAGGCUGACACGGAUGACGAAUCUGCUUGUGCCAGUUCAUUAAGCAAACCAAAAGAGAUUUCAGCAUCAACAUCAGAAGCCUGCCUGAAUGGAGUGAACACCAGAAAGAGCUCCAGAGGCAGGGGCUUACCCCUCUUCAGGAUGCUGAAAGACACAUUCAUCUAGGACGAGAUAAACACACAGUUUCUUCAAAAUAUAUUGAUGGAAUUAAAGGACAUGGUGUUUUUGCAGAAGAUUUCAUUGGGAAGGGAUCCUUCAUUAUCGAGUACCACGGAGCUCUGUGUGAAGAAAACAAGUUUAAUAAAAUCUCAAAUCCAUACAUAUAUUAUUUUAAAGAUAAUGGAAAAGAUUAUUGGUAAGUACAAUAUACCUGAUGUGCAUGUAGAUAUGACAGCCAAAAUCAAAUUUCAUUAAUUUAAUUAAUGAACUAUGUGGGUUAUUGUUGUCAAUAGUACUGCUUCUUUGGUACAUAUUCCAUGCUAAGAGCUCUCAGAUGGUCCCAUG
Molecule: long non-coding RNA, 714 nt
Organism: Cyprinus carpio carpio
Lineage: Eukaryota; Metazoa; Chordata; Actinopteri; Cypriniformes; Cyprinidae
Source: Ensembl